GACGAACGCUGGCGGCGUGCUUAACACAUGCAAGUCGAACGGAAAGGCCCUGCUUUUGUGGGGUGCUCGAGUGGCGAACGGGUGAGUAACACGUGAGUAACCUGCCCUUGACUUUGGGAUAACUUCAGGAAACUGGGGCUAAUACCGGAUAGGAGCUCCUGCUGCAUGGUGGGGGUUGGAAAGUUUCGGCGGUUGGGGAUGGACUCGCGGCUUAUCAGCUUGUUGGUGGGGUAGUGGCUUACCAAGGCUUUGACGGGUAGCCGGCCUGAGAGGGUGACCGGCAAAAUUGGGAAGGAAAAGCGGCCAGGACUCAUAGGGGAGGCAGAGGGGGGGAAUAUGAAAAAAGGGGAGGAGGCCUAAAGCAGAAACGCGGGGGGGGGGAUGAGGGCCUGGGGUUAUGAACCCGUUUGCGCCGGAGAGGAGGAGAGAGGGAGGGAAAUGGAAAAAGAAGAACCGGAAAACAACGGG
RNAcentral lists this ribosomal RNA (468 nucleotides) under uncultured bacterium. Its description in RNAcentral is "partial 16S ribosomal RNA". It matches the Rfam family "Bacterial small subunit ribosomal RNA", at positions 28 to 507 of the family's 1533-position model. The record is from RNAcentral.